UGCGGGGUGGAGCAGUUGGUAGCUCGUCGGGCUCAUAACCCGAAGGUCGUCCGUUCGAGUCGGGCCCCCGCUACUA
Molecule: transfer RNA, 76 nt
Filed under: Flavobacteriia bacterium
Lineage: Bacteria; Pseudomonadati; Bacteroidota; Flavobacteriia
Description: tRNA-Met
Rfam family: tRNA
About the family: Transfer RNA (tRNA) molecules are approximately 80 nucleotides in length.
Source: RNAcentral